This 82-nucleotide transfer RNA is filed under the name Bacteroidota bacterium. RNAcentral's name for it is "tRNA-Ser". It matches the Rfam family "tRNA". From Rfam's summary of the family: Transfer RNA (tRNA) molecules are approximately 80 nucleotides in length. Their secondary structure includes four short double-helical elements and three loops (D, anti-codon, and T loops). Lineage: Bacteria; Pseudomonadati; Bacteroidota. RNAcentral also lists the same sequence under 2 other names. The record is from RNAcentral.
GGAAGGCUGGCACAAUGGUACUGCAGCAGUCUUGAAAACUGCCGCCCGCAAGGGCUUCCGAGUUCGAAUCCCGGGCCUUCCG